This 85-nucleotide transfer RNA is filed under the name Felis catus (domestic cat). It matches the Rfam family "tRNA". From Rfam's summary of the family: Transfer RNA (tRNA) molecules are approximately 80 nucleotides in length. RNAcentral also lists the same sequence under 1 other name. The record is from Rfam by way of RNAcentral. Lineage: Eukaryota; Metazoa; Chordata; Mammalia; Carnivora; Felidae.
GCCUGGGUGGCUCAGUCGGUUAAGCGUCUGACUUUGGCUCAGGACAUGAGCCCAUGGUUCAGGGGUUCAAGCCCCAUAUCGGGCU